GAAGGUAUAGCUCAGAGGCAGAGCACAUGCUCAGCAUGCAUGAGGUCAUGGGUUCAAUCCCCAGUACCUCUG
This 72-nucleotide transfer RNA is filed under the name Camelus bactrianus (Bactrian camel). It matches the Rfam family "tRNA". Rfam says of the family: Transfer RNA (tRNA) molecules are approximately 80 nucleotides in length. Their secondary structure includes four short double-helical elements and three loops (D, anti-codon, and T loops). Further hydrogen bonds mediate the characteristic L-shaped molecular structure. tRNAs have two regions of fundamental functional importance: the anti-codon, which is responsible for specific mRNA codon recognition, and the 3' end, to which the tRNAs corresponding amino acid is attached (by aminoacyl-tRNA synthetases). tRNAs cope with the degeneracy of the genetic code in two manners: having more than one tRNA (with a specific anti-codon) for a particular amino acid; and 'wobble' base-pairing, i.e. permitting non-standard base-pairing at the 3rd anti-codon position. Lineage: Eukaryota; Metazoa; Chordata; Mammalia; Artiodactyla; Camelidae. RNAcentral also lists the same sequence under 3 other names. The record is from Rfam by way of RNAcentral.